UGCAGUCGAGCGAUGAAGCUCCUUCGGGAGCGGAUUAGCGGCGGACGGGUGAGUAACACGUGGGUAACCUGCCUCAUAGAGGGGAAUAGCCUUUCGAAAGGAAGAUUAAUACCGCAUAAGAUUGUAGUGCCGCAUGGCAUAGCAAUUAAAGGAGUAAUCCGCUAUGAGAUGGACCCGCGUCGCAUUAGCUAGUUGGUGAGGUAACGGCUCACCAAGGCGACGAUGCGUAGCCGACCUGAGAGGGUGAUCGGCCACAUUGGGACUGAGACACGGCCCAGACUCCUACGGGAGGCAGCAGUGGGGAAUAUUGCACAAUGGGGGAAACCCUGAUGCAGCAACGCCGCGUGAGUGAUGACGGUCUUCGGAUUGUAAAGCUCUGUCUUCAGGGACGAUAAUGACGGUACCUGAGGAGGAAGCCACGGCUAACUACGUGCCAGCAGCCGCGGUAAUACGUAGGUGGCAAGCGUUGUCCGGAUUUACUGGGCGUAAAGGGAGCGUAGGUGGAUAUUUAAGUGGGAUGUGAAAUACUCGGGCUUAACCUGGGUGCUGCAUUCCAAACUGGAUAUCUAGAGUGCAGGAGAGGAAAGUAGAAUUCCUAGUGUAGCGGUGAAAUGCGUAGAGAUUAGGAAGAAUACCAGUGGCGAAGGCGACUUUCUGGACUGUAACUGACACUGAGGCUC
Molecule: ribosomal RNA, 680 nt
Filed under: bacterium StV3-27F
Lineage: Bacteria
Description: bacterial SSU rRNA
Rfam family: Bacterial small subunit ribosomal RNA
Source: RNAcentral